UAAUGAUGGCAGAGAGGUCACACCCGUUCCCAUACCGAACACGGAAGUUAAGCUCUCUAGCGCCGAUGGUAGUUGGGACCUUGUCCCUGUGAGAGCAGGACGUUGCCAGGC
Molecule: ribosomal RNA, 111 nt
Filed under: Bacillus cereus
Lineage: Bacteria; Bacillati; Bacillota; Bacilli; Caryophanales; Bacillaceae
Source: RNAcentral